GCUGGCGUAGCUCAAUUGGCAGAGCAGCGGUUUUGUAAACCGCAGGUUGGGGGUUCGAUUCCUCUCGCCAGCUCCA
Molecule: transfer RNA, 76 nt
Filed under: Nitrospira sp.
Lineage: Bacteria; Pseudomonadati; Nitrospirota; Nitrospiria; Nitrospirales; Nitrospiraceae
Description: tRNA-Thr
Rfam family: tRNA
About the family: Transfer RNA (tRNA) molecules are approximately 80 nucleotides in length. Their secondary structure includes four short double-helical elements and three loops (D, anti-codon, and T loops).
Source: RNAcentral